UACGUAGGGCGCAAGCGUUGUCCGGAAUUAUUGGGCGUAAAGAGCUCGUAGGCGGCCUGUUACGUCUGCUGUGAAAUCCCGGGGCUUAACCCCGGGCGUGCAGUGGAUACGGGCAGGCUGGAGGCAGGCAGGGGAGAACGGAAUUCCCGGUGUAGCGGUGAAAUGCGCAGAUAUCGGGAGGAACACCGAUGGCGAAGGCAGUGUUCUGGGCCAGUACUGACGCUGAGGAGCGAAAGCGUGGGGAGCGAACAGG
RNAcentral lists this ribosomal RNA (253 nucleotides) under uncultured bacterium. RNAcentral's name for it is "partial 16S ribosomal RNA". It matches the Rfam family "Bacterial small subunit ribosomal RNA", at positions 524 to 776 of the family's 1533-position model. The record is from RNAcentral.